Molecule: ribosomal RNA, 253 nt
Filed under: uncultured bacterium
Lineage: Bacteria
Description: partial 16S ribosomal RNA
Rfam family: Bacterial small subunit ribosomal RNA
Source: RNAcentral
UACGUAGGGGGCAAGCGUUGUCCGGAAUUAUUGGGCGUAAAGAGCGCGUAGGCGGUCCGAUAAGUCGGCUGUGAAAGUCAGGGGCUCAACCCUUGGAAGCCGGCCGAUACUGUCGGACUAGAGUCCGGAAGAGGCGAGUGGAAUUCCCGGUGUAGCGGUGAAAUGCGUAGAGAUCGGGAGGAACAUCAGUUGCGAAGGCGGCUCUCUGGACCAACACUGACACUGAGGCACGAAAGCGUGGGGAGCAAACAGG